RNAcentral lists this unclassified non-coding RNA (161 nucleotides) under uncultured Chalara. Its description in RNAcentral is "sequence contains ITS1". Lineage: Eukaryota; Fungi; Ascomycota; Leotiomycetes; Helotiales. The record is from RNAcentral.
CAGAGAAACUCGCCCGCAAGGGUGACUCUCCAACCCUUAUGUUAAUUAUACCUUUGUUGCUUUGGCGAGCCGCUUCGGCCACCGGCUUCACGCUGGUGAGCGCUCGCCAGAGGACCCUAAACUCUGUUUAUUAGUGUCGUCUGAGUACUAUAUAAUAGUUA